This 964-nucleotide long non-coding RNA is filed under the name Trifolium pratense (red clover). RNAcentral describes it as "long non-coding RNA (TPRA_LNC007731)". Lineage: Eukaryota; Viridiplantae; Streptophyta; Magnoliopsida; Fabales; Fabaceae. The record is from RNAcentral.
UAAGAGUAUCUACCAUCCUCAUUUUUUAGUAUUUAACUGGAUCUCACGUGUACACAUCACUCAUUUAUAAUUUUUUAAUAAUAGUACCUAAGAAGUAUUCAAUCUCUCCGAUCCAAUAUAUCUUAAAAAAUUCUAAAUAAACUCUACCAAUAACACAUCUCACCAAUAAAUAUACAUCAUUAUAAAUGAGACCCAUAAAAAUAAAAUAAAUACUAAUGCUUAUUGUAGAAUCAGUAUUGCUCUGAUAGUAGUACGUAAUAAGUAUCAUGAGUACCUAAUAGGUACUACACCAUUGGAGAUGAUCUAUAUUAGUGAUUUACCUUUGUCCUCAACCGAAUUUGAAGAUCAAGCACAUAUAAGUUAAACUGAAUUUGAUAAACUGAAUUUUGUUACAAAGUUCCAUCUUUGUUCAAUUCAAAACCAAACCAAAAGCUUCUAAGUUCCUAUCAGAUCAGAAAGAUCCGUAUGCCAAGCAACUAAAAAGUUAACAAAUCUGGGAAUGAAUUUUUUUUUAUCCAUUUUCUGGUUUUUUUUGUUUUUACAAAGAGUUUACUACUUGAUUCUACUCCAUCUUUUUCUUUUUAGUUUUAUUUUAUAGAUUGAAGAUUCAUUAAUUUUAUCUUUGUGGAAAUAAUUUUCCCUUUUUUUUAGUCUUUUUUAAAAUUUCUUAUAUUAUUUUGUUGAAUGAUUAUGGUAGUAUUGGUUUCCACUUUCCAUAGCCACACAUGUAUAGUUGAUGUUACUGGAAAUAGAUGAGAGAGACUAAAGAUGAGAGAUAAAUCUAAAAGAGAACAUUAUCUUAUAUAGACAAUACACAACACGAUCAAUGAGCCAUCUUAAUCUAAUGGAUAUGACCAUUUGUCCAACAUGCACCAAAACAUGUUUUAGUCCAACCUAAACGGACCCCUUGAAGACAUAAUUAGCUGGGAUGCUUAGGCACAAAAGUUGCACAAGCAUAAUAUUU